Molecule: non-coding RNA, 267 nt
Organism: Lonchura striata (white-rumped munia)
Lineage: Eukaryota; Metazoa; Chordata; Aves; Passeriformes; Estrildidae
Source: RefSeq, a predicted model, not a curated record
GGGGAUGCGCGGGGGAUGCGCGGGGGAUGCAGCGCCCAGCCCACGCCGCGGUUUCCACACCACCCCCCUUCUGCAGGAAACGGGUAGCCGUGGUGAUGGAGUUCUCUUAAGCCAAGCAGCGCCAGCAUCCCUUGGAAAGUUUUCCCGCCCCAAAGCAGAAAGAAAGUGUGGCUUGUGCGGCUGAUGGAGCCAGCCUUUUUGGAAUCUGAAUAAGAGCUUUCACUUAAUGCACAUCGCUGUACUGCCUUGAGCAGCCUGCUGAAACCA